AGAGCGAACGCUGGCGGCAGGCCUAACACAUGCAAGUCGAGCGCGUGUAGCAAUACACGAGCGGCAGACGGGAGAGUAACACGUGGGAACGCGCCCUUCGGUUCGGAAUAACUCAGGGAAACUUGAGCUAAUACCGGAUACGCCCUUACGGGGAAAGAUUUAUUGCCGAAAGAACGGCCCGCGUCCGAUUAGCUAGUUGGUGAGGUAACGGCUCACCAAGGCGACGAUCGGUAGCUGGUCUGAGAGGAUGACCAGCCUCACUGGGACUGAGACACGGCCCAGACUCCUACGGGAGGCAGCAGUGGGGAAUAUGGACAAUGGGCGCAAGCCUGAUCCAGCCAUGCCGCGUGGAUGAUGAAGGCCUUAGGGUUGUAAAGUCCUUUUAACGGGGAAGAUAAUGACGGUACCGUAGAAUAAGCCCGGCUAACUUCGUGCCAGCAGCCGC
This 445-nucleotide ribosomal RNA is filed under the name uncultured bacterium. RNAcentral describes it as "SSU rRNA". It matches the Rfam family "Bacterial small subunit ribosomal RNA", at positions 26 to 518 of the family's 1533-position model. The record is from RNAcentral.